Drosophila mauritiana is the source of this 1696-nucleotide long non-coding RNA. RefSeq lists it as uncharacterized. The record is from RefSeq and is a predicted model, not a curated record. The transcript has 4 exons. NCBI's taxonomy places the organism in Eukaryota, Metazoa, Arthropoda, Insecta, Diptera, Drosophilidae.
UUUGCGUAGGAGUGUCUUUGUACCAGUAAAUCAGUUGAACAGAAAUGCCAUCGGAUUUUAUAAAAAUGUUAAGAUAUUACCGAAUUUAUCCAUCUAUCUCAGUUAUUAGUUAGUUUAAUAACUAAGAUGAAUGCGAGCUAAAGAGCAAACAUUCCAUGAAAGUGUAGGAUGUUGAUAAGAUUUAAACUGCACUCCCAUAUCACUUAGAAUUUGAAAUUCCUGAAUGUAUCUUCUAGUAUACAGAGAUAUCUGUAUCUUGACCAACUGAUCGUGGCUCUUGAAGUUCAACGUUCGAUAGGCGAAAUGAACAGGGAACCUGAGUAAACAGGGAGCAACGUGCUCUAUUUGCCGAGACUUCCAGUUCUAAAACGCGAUUGUCUGGCCAGCGACUGCGACUUUGGGUAGACAACGAAAUUGUCCCUUAUCGGAAAUCAAAUUCGGAUCACGAUUACUCACCAUCUACUGCGCCCCGUGGCAUGCAACACUCUUCGAAUGCACUCGCGGUUGGAGCAGCACUUUCACUUUGUGGAGCACAUCGUGCUCGAAACCUAAAGUCCACAUCUCGCUUAGUCCGUAUUUACACAACAAUGGCCGAAAACAAAGGAACGCACUAGGAGCGCGCUAGACAGCCGCCAACGUCGCAAGUCCACUCGUCCCGUGUCCGUACCGUCGCGUCCAGCACAAUUCGGGCUGGGAUGGAAGAACAACAGACCCGCAGCUCGUCGGAAGAGCGACUAAACCUAAACCCACUCACGCCGCUGCCGGCGUAGCUAUCGCAUGCCUUAAUCUAAUAAAUUCCUUAUCAAAGAGCGUCGGAGUAUAGUAUUUGCUCUAUCUGGCGUUUGUGCAGCCGCAAGUACGCGCUCGAAUGCUCGUGGAGUCGGUUUGUAAUGACACACGCGUCGGCGUCUGUCAACAUGCCAACCUUUUGUGACGCCCGCUCCUCGGAUCUUUUGGCAGUGGUCAGGUUUGGACUCGCAGCCUGCCAUUCCGACAGCCGAUAGUAUACAAAUCAUGUGAUUGUGGGCAAUUGCCGUUCUAGUUACAACAACAAUGCCGCAGACUACAGAAUCAGACCAACAAACCCAGCUGAACACCAACUAGUAGUUAUACCUUUUAAAAAGCGCAACUUGGCAAAAAGCGGACAUUUGGCUAUGCGUGUAAACAACUUCAAGGCUGGGGUGACUUUUAUUUUCCUAAUUCUGCUCUUGACACGGGCUUUUAGAACGGAGUUGAAAAGGUUGAAUGUGAAAUGCAAUAUGCAAACAAAAAUGCAAAUUGGAAUUAAACAAUAACGACUAAGAUUUAGCGCUAGAAGCAAUGAAUUCGCAUUUAAAUGGGCAGAGUGAUCGAAAUGAAUGCGAUGAAUUAUUUAUACUGAAACCGCAAUCAAUAAAUCUACCUGCCCACACCAUUCAAUAAUUAAGAAAUCAUUAAUCAGAUAAGAUUCGAUACAGCAAGGGAACUUUAGCUGCACAGUGCGGAAAAAUGGGCGGCAAGGUCGUUGGUCGAGGGCAUGAUGAUGUAAUUGCGAAAAGUUCUCUUUGCGCCAAAUUUGCCAACACAAAUUUAUUAGCGCGUCACGCAGUCUGCGACUUGUGCGGCGGAUGUUUACUGUGCCCAGCAUACACUGAAAACAAAAACGAUGAUGUACUUCAUUUUUGUAUAUCACAGCCGGUACAAUAUGACCUUUUUU